AUUGAACGCUGGCGGCAGGCUUAACACAUGCAAGUCGAGCGGGGUGAUGGUGCUUGCACUAUCACUUAGCGGCGGACGGGUGAGUAAUGCUUAGGAAUCUGCCUAUUAGUGGGGGACAACAUCUCGAAAGGGAUGCUAAUACCGCAUACGUCCUACGGGAGAAAGCAGGGGAUCACUUGUGACCUUGCGCUAAUAGAUGAGCCUAAGUCGGGUUAGCUAGUUGGUGGGGUAAAGGUCUACCAAGGCGACGAUCUGUAGCGGGUCUGAGAGGUUGAUCCGCCACACUGGGACUGAGACACGGCCCAGACUCCUACGGGAGGCAGCAGUGGGGAAUAUUGGACAAUGGGGGGAACCCUGAUCCAGCCAUGCCGCGUGUGUGAAGAAGGCCUUAUGGUUGUAAAGCACUUUAAGCGAGGAGGAGGCUCUUUUGGUUAAUACCCAGAAUGAGUGGACGUUACUCGCAGAAUAAGCACCGGCUAACUCUGUGCCAGCCGCCGCCGUAA
RNAcentral lists this ribosomal RNA (503 nucleotides) under uncultured bacterium. Its description in RNAcentral is "partial 16S ribosomal RNA". It matches the Rfam family "Bacterial small subunit ribosomal RNA", at positions 30 to 523 of the family's 1533-position model. The record is from RNAcentral.